AAGCUGACUCUGCUGGCCCCCUUAAGCCCACCUAUAAGGGGUAGAAGCAGAGGAGCGAAGCCGCUCCACUUCGCUUCGCGGCCAGGCACUCCACCUAGCCAAGGAAUACCACCACAACACGUAGAAAAACCCACAGCACAAGCGUGACAAUGGGGAAACUACGCAGACCAACUUCAGCCAUAGAGAAUGAAGAUAGAAACUCUGAUGACGCAACAAUGGCCAACCACCUCCAAAGUCUUUCAGAAAUGGAGUUUAGAGAAGAAAUAUGGAGGUUGCUCACAGAACUCAAAGAAAGUAUAAAUCAAAACACUAAUAAAAAUCAAGAGAAUAUGAAGAUAGAAAUCAGAAAACUCCAAACUGAAAUAUCAGGUCAAAUAACAGGUCUGAAAAAUUCAGUAGAUGAA
Molecule: long non-coding RNA, 404 nt
Organism: Suncus etruscus (white-toothed pygmy shrew)
Lineage: Eukaryota; Metazoa; Chordata; Mammalia; Eulipotyphla; Soricidae
Exons: 2
Source: RefSeq, a predicted model, not a curated record